This 25-nucleotide non-coding RNA is filed under the name Rattus norvegicus (Norway rat). Lineage: Eukaryota; Metazoa; Chordata; Mammalia; Rodentia; Muridae. The record is from RNAcentral.
UGGCACCAUUGCCUUUUCCGGUCAC